GUGAAAGUGAAAGCAGCUCAGCCUGAACAGAGUUUUGAGAGACUGCCAAAAGAAAACAGUUUUUAUGAUAUCUGGAGGCAGAGAGCAGCAUCACACAGGCUGCUAGUUCUCCUGCUGCUGCUAUCUGGACGAAGUUUAAACCAUGACAACACUCACCCAAUGAAGUCCACCUGGUCUGCAACUCAUCAUACUUCCCAUAACACCAGCCAGGAUGUUAACCCCCUAGCUUGAUCAGGAAGCUUUAAUGAGUAGCUGGAUUUGUCUCGCAUUAACUGGCUGGACACAGAGGACAUCGAAAUGCAGCUGAUUGAACUGAAAAGCU
This is a long non-coding RNA of Oreochromis niloticus (Nile tilapia), 322 nucleotides long. RefSeq lists it as uncharacterized. Lineage: Eukaryota; Metazoa; Chordata; Actinopteri; Cichliformes; Cichlidae. The record is from RefSeq and is a predicted model, not a curated record. The transcript has 3 exons.